Molecule: ribosomal RNA, 440 nt
Filed under: uncultured bacterium
Lineage: Bacteria
Description: partial 16S ribosomal RNA
Rfam family: Bacterial small subunit ribosomal RNA
Source: RNAcentral
CCUACGGGUGACAGCAGUAGGGAAUAUUGCACAAUGGGGGAAACCCUGAUGCAGCGACGCCGCGUGAGUGAAGAAGGAAUUCGUUAUGUAAAGCUCUAUCGGCAGGGAAGAAAAUUACGGUACCUGAGUAACCUGCCCCGGCUAACUACGUGACAGCAGCCGCGGUAAUACGUAGGGGGCAAGCGUUAUCCGGAUUUACUGGGGGUAACGGGAGCGUAGACGGCAGUGCAAGUCUGGAGUGAAAGGCGGGGGCUCAACCCCCGGACUGCUCUGGAAACUGUACGGCUGGAGUGCAGGAGAGGUAAGUGGAAUUCCUAGUGUAGCGGUGAAAUGCGUAGAUAUUAGGAGGAACACCAGUGGCGAAGGCGGCUUACUGGACUGUAACUGACGUUGAGGCUCGAAAGCGUGGGGAGCAAACAGGAUUAGAUACCCUUGUAGUC